ACGCACGCUGGCGGCGUGCUUAACACAUGCAAGUCGAACGGAAAGGCCCCCACCUUGGUGGGGGUGCUCGAGUGGCGAACGGGUGAGUAACACGUGGGUGAUCUGCCCUGUACUUCGGGAUAAGCUUGGGAAACUGGGUCUAAUACCGGAUAGGACCAUGGUUUAGUGUCUCAUGGUGGAAAAAUUAUUGUUUUGGUGCAGGAUGAGCUCGCGGCCUAUCAGCUUGUUGGUGGGGUAAUGGCCUACCAAGGCGUCGACGGGUAGCCGGCCUGAGAGGGUGGACGGCCACAUUGGGACUGAGAUACGGCCCAGACUCCUACGGGAGGCAGCAGUGGGGAAUAUUGCACAAUGGGCGCAAGCCUGAUGCAGCGACGCCGCGUGGGGGAUGACGGCCUUCGGGUUGUAAACUCCUUUCGUUAGGGACGAAGCCACACCUUUUUUGGGUGUGGUGACGGUACCUUUGUGAAGAAGCACCGGCUAACUACGUG
RNAcentral lists this ribosomal RNA (488 nucleotides) under uncultured bacterium. RNAcentral's name for it is "partial 16S ribosomal RNA". It matches the Rfam family "Bacterial small subunit ribosomal RNA", at positions 29 to 507 of the family's 1533-position model. The record is from RNAcentral.